Non-coding RNA from Nostoc sp. NIES-3756, 72 nucleotides. NCBI's taxonomy places the organism in Bacteria, Bacillati, Cyanobacteriota, Cyanophyceae, Nostocales, Nostocaceae. The record is from Rfam.
UGAAAGUUAGCUCACUAGUAGAGCGAUCGGCUUUUCCCCGAUUUGUUGUGGGUUCGAUUCCCAUACUUUCCA